UGGCUCAAGUGGAAGAGCACUUGCUUAUCAAGCAAGAGUCCCUGAGUUCAAACCCCAG
This 58-nucleotide transfer RNA is filed under the name Dipodomys ordii (Ord's kangaroo rat). It matches the Rfam family "tRNA", at positions 8 to 63 of the family's 71-position model. From Rfam's summary of the family: Transfer RNA (tRNA) molecules are approximately 80 nucleotides in length. Their secondary structure includes four short double-helical elements and three loops (D, anti-codon, and T loops). The record is from Rfam by way of RNAcentral. Lineage: Eukaryota; Metazoa; Chordata; Mammalia; Rodentia; Heteromyidae.